GGCCAAAUAGUCUAGUGGUUAAGGCAGUGGUUUGCUAAACCAUCAAUUAUUUUUAAUAAUUCGUGGGUUCGAAUCCCACUUUGGCCU
Aphanomyces invadans is the source of this 87-nucleotide non-coding RNA. The record is from Rfam. NCBI's taxonomy places the organism in Eukaryota, Oomycota, Saprolegniomycetes, Saprolegniales, Verrucalvaceae.